RNAcentral lists this unclassified non-coding RNA (200 nucleotides) under Phlebia sp. RNAcentral's name for it is "partial internal transcribed spacer 2". Lineage: Eukaryota; Fungi; Basidiomycota; Agaricomycetes; Polyporales; Meruliaceae. The record is from RNAcentral.
UUAAGUUCAGCGGGUAGUCCUACCUGAUUUGAGGUCAGAUGUUAAAAGUUGUCCUCGCGGACGGUUAGAAGCGCGAACACAGAGAUACUUCACACCACGGCGUAGACAAUUAUCACACCGAAGCGAUCCGUAAGGCUCGCACUAAUGCAUUUCAGAGGAGUCGACUUUCGCAAGCCGACACGACCCCCAAGUCCAAGCCU